UACGUAGGGUGCGAGCGUUGUCCGGAAUUACUGGGCGUAAAGAGCUCGUAGGCGGUUUGUCGCGUCGUCCGUGAAAACUUGGGGCUCAACCCCAAGCUUGCGGGCGAUACGGGCAGACUUGAGUACUGCAGGGGAGACUGGAAUUCCUGGUGUAGCGGUGAAAUGCGCAGAUAUCAGGAGGAACACCGGUGGCGAAGGCGGGUCUCUGGGCAAUAACUGACGCUGAGGAGCGAAAGCGUGGGGAGCGAACAGG
This 253-nucleotide ribosomal RNA is filed under the name uncultured bacterium. RNAcentral's name for it is "partial 16S ribosomal RNA". It matches the Rfam family "Bacterial small subunit ribosomal RNA", at positions 524 to 776 of the family's 1533-position model. The record is from RNAcentral.